UACGGGGGGAGCAAGCGUUGUUCGGAUUUACUGGGCGUAAAGGGCGCGUAGGCGGCCAGCACAAGUCAGUUGUGAAAUCUCCGGGCUUAACUCGGAAAGGUCAACUGAUACUGUGCGGCUAGAGUGCAGAAGGGGCAACUGGAAUUCUCGGUGUAGCGGUGAAAUGCGUAGAUAUCGAGAGGAACACCGGUGGCGAAGGCGGUUCUCUGGGCCUUACCUGACGCUGAGGAGCGAAAGCGUGGGGAGCGAACAGG
This 254-nucleotide ribosomal RNA is filed under the name uncultured bacterium. Its description in RNAcentral is "partial 16S ribosomal RNA". It matches the Rfam family "Bacterial small subunit ribosomal RNA", at positions 524 to 776 of the family's 1533-position model. The record is from RNAcentral.